RNAcentral lists this transfer RNA (67 nucleotides) under Nicotiana attenuata. It matches the Rfam family "tRNA". From Rfam's summary of the family: Transfer RNA (tRNA) molecules are approximately 80 nucleotides in length. Their secondary structure includes four short double-helical elements and three loops (D, anti-codon, and T loops). Further hydrogen bonds mediate the characteristic L-shaped molecular structure. tRNAs have two regions of fundamental functional importance: the anti-codon, which is responsible for specific mRNA codon recognition, and the 3' end, to which the tRNAs corresponding amino acid is attached (by aminoacyl-tRNA synthetases). tRNAs cope with the degeneracy of the genetic code in two manners: having more than one tRNA (with a specific anti-codon) for a particular amino acid; and 'wobble' base-pairing, i.e. permitting non-standard base-pairing at the 3rd anti-codon position. The record is from Rfam by way of RNAcentral. Lineage: Eukaryota; Viridiplantae; Streptophyta; Magnoliopsida; Solanales; Solanaceae.
GGCCCAUUAGCUCAGUUGGUUAGAGCGUCGUGCUAAUAACGCGAAGGUCGCAGACCUGCAUGGGCCA